RNAcentral lists this non-coding RNA (28 nucleotides) under Mus musculus (house mouse). The record is from RNAcentral. Lineage: Eukaryota; Metazoa; Chordata; Mammalia; Rodentia; Muridae.
AGAUGAGAAAAUUGAAGGCCAGAAAAGU